UUUUCCCUUUCUUUUUUCUCCAAAAGAAAAUUGCUAAAAGAUUUACCUCAAAUAUCUGGACUUAACUCCGGUCCACUUUCGACCGAAAAAACACUCCGGUCCACUGAAAUAGUUGAGCCUAGACAAUUGAAUAUUAUUGGGUUACCUGCGCAAGCAACAACGUCUGGGCUACCCGUGUAAAAAAAGGCCGAUACUUUCGGCCUCAGAGUUUUGACCCAAUUUCUACAAAGGCCCCUACUCGGAGCCCCGGAUGCCAGAGCAAACAAAGCCUUGGUUAUUUCUUGAGGAGGAAGAAGAAGAAGAAUACUAGAAUAGGGAGCUGGGAGCUGAGUAGGCGGCAAAAGGCGUAAAAUUUGUCAAGCAUCUGAACCAAGAGAGAGCAAGCGAAACUGGUUAUUAUCAAAGAUGUCCAGGAGAUAUGAUAGCCGUACAACCAUCUUUUCCCCUGAGGGUCGUCUCUACCAAGUUGAGUAUGCAAUGGAGGCCAUUGGAAAUGCGGGUACUGCAAUUGGGAUUUUGUCAAAAGAUGGGGUUAUCUUAGUUGGUGAGAAGAAAGUCACAUCCAAACUCCUCCACUCCACAACUUCCACUGAGAAAAUGUACAAGAUUGAUGACCAUGUUGCAUGUGCUGUGGCUGGCAUAAUGUCUGAUGCCAACAUCCUGAUAAACACUGCUCGGGUCCAGGCUCAGCGCUAUAUGUUUGCGUACCAAGAACCAAUGCCCGUUGAGCAGCUUGUUCAAUCUCUUUGUGAUACUAAGCAGGGCUACACACAGUUUGGUGGUCUCCGGCCCUUUGGUGUUUCAUUUUUGUUCGCGGGUUGGGACAAGAAUUUCGGUUUUCAACUUUACAUGAGUGACCCUAGUGGAAACUAUGCUGGCUGGAAGGCUGCAGUGAUUGGUGCGAACAACUAAGCGGCUCAAUCGAUGCUUAAACAGGAUUACAAGGAUGAUAUGACUAGGGAAGAGGGAGUUCAGCUAGCACUGAAGGUGCUCAGUAAAACCAUGGACAGCACAAGUCUCACUCCGGAGAAGCUUGAAUUGGCUGAGGUUUUCGGCUCACCUUCUGGGAAAGUGAAGUAUCAAGUUUGUCCACCUGCAUCUUUCAGUAAGUUGUUGGAGAAGGUUGGUGUGAACCAACCAUCUACUGAGGAUUCCUAGGUUUUGACUAGAUUUUUUUCCUGAGAAUGUAGUUUUGGAGCAAGUUUGAACUUUAUGUUGUUUGACACAUGGUGUGAUUACAUUGUUUGCGCUUAA
This is an RNA transcript of Prunus dulcis (almond), 1254 nucleotides long. It is a transcript of the gene named proteasome subunit alpha type-4-like, with no coding region annotated. The record is from RefSeq and is a predicted model, not a curated record. Lineage: Eukaryota; Viridiplantae; Streptophyta; Magnoliopsida; Rosales; Rosaceae. The transcript is spliced from 2 exons.